ACGCGGUGGAGAUAAAAUGGGUGCUGGGCCUUCUUCCCUCUCAAUCUCAAAUAACAUCUACAUUUCAACUCCCACCCUCUCUCCUCACAACAGACCAAUCCCCACCUAUCAUCCCCAUCAAACCCAUCUCCCAAAUCCCAUAAUCAAAUCCAUGGACAGAUCCUCUCAUUCCAUCCAACCACUGAAAUGUGGUGGAGAAACUGUAAUCCCAGAGACCCAUGUUGAAAAUCCUGCCAAAUCAUUAUCUGGGUCCCACCUCAUGGCUCCAGAGCUGCUCCAAGAGCUGGUGUCAGAAGCUCUUGUCUGGAGCUCUCUCAAUGGGCUUGUUGUUGGAGACAAAACCAAUCAGAGAUCUGGAACAAUUCCUGGAGUGGGUCUGGUUCAUGCUCCAAUUUCCCUUUUGCCCACACCAUUUCCGCAGAGUCACUGGAGACAAGCAUGUGAGUUAGCCCCCAUUUUCAAUGAGCUUGUCGAUCGUGUGAGCUUGGAUGGCGAAUUUCUGCAGGAUUCACUGUCCAGAACUAAGAAGGUGGAUGCUUUCACCAGUAGACUCUUAGAUAUUCAUUCCAAGAUGCUGGAAAUCAAUAAAAAAGAGGAAAUACGUUUGGGUUUACAUCGUUCGGAUUACAUGCUUGAUGCUCAAACUAAAGAUCUUCUUCAAAUAGAGCUCAACACGAUCUCAUCUUCAUUCCCUGGUCUUAGUUGUCUUGUUAGCGAGCUUCACAGGAAUCUACUUAAUCACUACGGAAAGAACAUUGGUUUAGAUUCAAAAAGGGUUCCUGGAAACACUGCUGUUAGUCGAUAUGCAGAGGCAUUGGCUAAAGCUUGGAAUGAGUACAAUAACGGCAGUGCUGUAGUUAUGGUUGUUGUUCAACCUGAGGAGCGAAACAUGUAUGACCAACACUGGCUUUGUGCGGAAUUGAAGGAGAGGCAUGGUGUGAAAAGCAUUCGGAGAACUUUGGCGGAAAUAGACAUAGAGGGGAAGGUUCUCCCCGAUGGAGCACUCCAAGUAGGCAAACAUGUGGUUUCAGUCGUCUAUUUCAGAGCUGGGUAUUCCCCAACUGAUUAUCCCUCAGAAUCUGAAUGGACAGCAAGGCUACUAAUCGAGCAGUCCUCUGCUAUAAAAUGUCCGUCUAUUUCCUACCAUUUGGUGGGCACGAAGAAGAUCCAGCAAGAGCUGGCAAAGCCCAAUGUACUUGAAAGGUUCCUUGAAAAUAAGGAUGACAUUGAAAAACUGCGGAAAUGUUUUGCGGGUCUAUGGAGUUUGGUGGACAAUUCGAAUAUUGUGCAGGAUGCUAUGGAAAGACCUGAACUAUUUGUUCUCAAACCCCAAAGAGAAGGAGGAGGGAAUAACAUAUAUGGAGACAGUGUAAGGGAAACCUUAGUCCGGUUGCAGAAGGAAGGGAGCGACGGACUUGCUGCUUACAUUCUGAUGCAAAGGAUAUUCCCCACAGCUUCUCAUGCGUAUCUGGUCCGAGAUGGCAUUUGUCAUCAAGACCAAGCGAUAUCAGAACUUGGGAUAUAUGGUGCUUAUCUAAGGAACAAAGGGAAGGUGGUUAUGAAUGAUCAAUGCGGUUACCUGAUGCGGACUAAGGUUUCUUCAUCGAAUGAAGGUGGGGUUGCUGCCGGAUUCGCAGUAUUGGAUAGUAUUUAUCUGACUUGAUCAAAUUGAGUUGGUGAAGUUAAGGGGUUGAAAUGAGAUUCACACCAGUGGAAUGUGGACCAGUCUUCUACAAAGCAAGCUUUAUUCUUGUGAUGCUACUACAUCGGGUGCUGCAGGUUUCAACGGACAGCUUUUAUUUGGCGAAUAAUAACUGAUUCAGCAAUCUUACGCCAGUAGCAGAAUCCAUGAGCUGGAUUGAAAAUUGAAGGUGAGAGCAUUGAUAAAGAUCUUUGGGUACUUUCAUCUAAUUUCAUUUCACAUUCAUUCUUCUUUUGUCAAAGGCAUUUUUCCUAGAAUGGAUUUAUGGAACUUCUCAUCUUAUAUGUAUCCAGAGCCAAGAUGAUAAAACAGCAAUGCAUACAUGUUCACAAGUAGAGGUUUGCUACGAGUCCUAGGGUUUAAUUUAGGACACAUGCCCUUGAACUUGGGAUCAUGGUUCUUUGAUCCAUACCAUUUAUAUGAUGGGCUUCAGUGGAUGGGGACCCCAAGAAAAAAAUAAAGGAAAAACUCCCCGAUUGGAACA
Molecule: RNA transcript, 2186 nt
Organism: Magnolia sinica
Lineage: Eukaryota; Viridiplantae; Streptophyta; Magnoliopsida; Magnoliales; Magnoliaceae
Gene name: glutathione synthetase, chloroplastic
Exons: 14
Source: RefSeq, a predicted model, not a curated record